RNAcentral lists this ribosomal RNA (704 nucleotides) under Escherichia coli. RNAcentral describes it as "partial 23S ribosomal RNA". It matches the Rfam family "Bacterial large subunit ribosomal RNA", at positions 1 to 738 of the family's 2925-position model. Lineage: Bacteria; Pseudomonadati; Pseudomonadota; Gammaproteobacteria; Enterobacterales; Enterobacteriaceae. The record is from RNAcentral.
GGGUUGUGAGGUUAAGCGACUAAGCGUACACGGUGGAUGCCCUGGCAGUCAGAGGCGAUGAAGGACGUGCUAAUCUGCGAUAAGCGUCGGUAAGGUGAUAUGAACCGUUAUAACCGGCGAUUUCCGAAUGGGGAAACCCAGUGCAAUUCGUUGCACUAUCGUUAAGUGAAUACAUAGCUUAACGAAGCGAACCGGGGGAACUGAAACAUCUAAGUACCCCGAGGAAAAGAAAUCAACCGAGAUUCCCCCAGUAGCGGCGAGCGAACGGGGAGCAGCCCAGAGUCUGAAUCAGUGUGUGUGUUAGUGGAAGCGUCUGGAAAGGCGUGCGAUACAGGGUGACAGCCCCGUACACAAAAAUGCACAUAUUGUGAGCUCGAUGAGUAGGGCGGGACACGUGGUAUCCUGUCUGAAUAUGGGGGGACCAUCCUCCAAGGCUAAAUACUCCUGACUGACCGAUAGUGAACCAGUACCGUGAGGGAAAGGCGAAAAGAACCCCGGCGAGGGGAGUGAAAAAGAACCUGAAACCGUGUACGUACAAGCAGUGGGAGCAGGCUUAGGCGUGUGACUGCGUACCUUUUGUAUAAUGGGUCAGCGACUUAUAUUCUGUAGCAAGGUUAACCGAAUAGGGGAGCCGAAGGGAAACCGAGUCUUAACUGGGCGUUAAGUUGCAGGGUAUAGACCCGAAACCCGGUGAUCUAGCCAUG